GCCGCUAUGAUGGAAUGGGUAGACAUAGUGGACUUAAAAUCCACCUGAAGCGAUUCAGUACCGGUUCGAGUCCGGUUAGCGGCACCA
RNAcentral lists this transfer RNA (87 nucleotides) under Candidatus Faecousia faecavium. RNAcentral's name for it is "tRNA-Leu". It matches the Rfam family "tRNA". From Rfam's summary of the family: Transfer RNA (tRNA) molecules are approximately 80 nucleotides in length. Lineage: Bacteria; Bacillati; Bacillota; Clostridia; Eubacteriales; Oscillospiraceae. The record is from RNAcentral.